UUGGAGGGCAAGUCUGGUGCCAGCAGCCGCGGUAAUUCCAGCUCUAAUAGCGUAUAUUAAAGUUGUUGCAGUUAAAAAGCUCGUAGUUGAAUUUCGGGGUCAGUAGGUCGGUCGUGCCACUGGUAUGAACUGGUUUUACUGAUUCCUCCCUCUUGAAGAACUGUAAUGCCAUUAAUUUGGUGUUGCAGGGAAUCAGGACUGUUACUUUGAAAAAAUUAGAGUGUUUAAAGCAGGCUUUAGCUUGAAUACAUUAGCAUGGAAUAAUGAAAUAGGACGUUUGAUCCUAUUUUGUUGGUUUCUAGGAUUGACGUAAUGAUUAAUAGGGAUAGUUGGGGGCAUUAGUAUUCAAUUGUCAGAGGUGAAAUUCUUGGAUUUAUUGAAGACUAACUACUGCGAAAGCAUUUGCCAAGGAUGUUUUCAUUAAUCAAGAACGAAAGUUAGGGGAUCGAAGACGAUCAGAUACCGUCGUAGUCUUAACCAUAAACUAUGCCGACUAGGGAUCGGAUGAUGUUAAUUUUUUAAUGACUCAUUCGGCGCCUUACGGGAAAC
This 549-nucleotide ribosomal RNA is filed under the name uncultured Glomeromycotina. RNAcentral's name for it is "SSU rRNA". It matches the Rfam family "Eukaryotic small subunit ribosomal RNA", at positions 548 to 1098 of the family's 1831-position model. The record is from RNAcentral. Lineage: Eukaryota; Fungi; Glomeromycota.